Long non-coding RNA from Felis catus (domestic cat), 2960 nucleotides. RefSeq lists it as uncharacterized. The transcript has 3 exons. Lineage: Eukaryota; Metazoa; Chordata; Mammalia; Carnivora; Felidae. The record is from RefSeq and is a predicted model, not a curated record.
UAGGUAUAAUGCUAUUAGGCAAUUGAUAGACUGCAGUAAAGUAUAAACAUGACUUUGACAUGCGCUGAGAAACCAAAGCAUUCAUUUGACAUGCUUGGUUGGGGUGGUCUGGAACUGAACCCAUAAUAUCUGCAAGGCAUGCCUGUCGAGCCAUGAAAUGAAUUGCCCAGAGGGCCACCAGCUCAGAAUCGGUGGAGCAGAUUGUGACCCCGGUCUGACUACCCAUCAUACCAUGCCACCUCCAAAUUCCUACCAUUUAAUUAGGAGGUUCUCCCCUCCCCUGGUGUCUCGCAAUCCCUUUCCAUUUUGUGUGACUUUCUCCCCAGUGGUACAUAGAACUAAACAUCAUUUGAAAGACGAAGUCACUCUGUUGAUCUUUUGAGUAGAGUUAAUACCCUUAGAGAGAGAGAAAGCACUUCUUUAUUCUUUUACUCCAUUGGUAGCAACCGUGCAACCUGAAUUCUCGAAUAGUCUAGUCCAGAUUCCUGUUGGCUAACACAGUCUCAUUAAAAAACCACUUAUCUGCAUUCCUUUACUGCGGUUGCUGUCCUUUCUGUGCCUCUGUGAUGGGGAGUUGCUCUGGGGGUCUACGUCCUGGCAUCAGGUCCUUUCUAGCGCUGCACAAUGACCCUUCAUGUAUUACAGAUAUGCGCCAACCAUGAGCAGUUUCCUUAAGGAAAACCUUCUUUGUCGGCAUGAGAUCGAUUGCUCAACCUCCCCCAACACCUAGCUGCGGCCACGUCCAUAUAAUGAAGAAUACUGGUUUGAACGAAGAGUUGAGCAAGCAUUUUUCUUGGUCACUGAUGAAACUUGAGAGACUGCCUAGUUCACUCGAGAUGUAGGGUUUCCGCUCAAUAUUAUAGCGUCAAGGCUUAUCCAUAUGGAAAUACGUAGAACUGGUUCAUUCACUUUUACAACUGUGAAUUGUUGCAGCAUAUCGAUUAAAUCACAAUUUAAAAAAAAAAUCUAUCCCUUGACUUGUUCUUAAAAAAACAAGUCUGUUUGUUUUGACGUGACAAACCACUGUGGCGAAUAUUCUUGCCCAUGUCUACUUGUUCACGUUUGCAAGAAUUUUUCUAGAGUGCGUGAUAAGCUAUGGAACUGAUGAUUCGCUGGGUGUUCCUCAUCUUUACCUUUAUUAGCUAUUGCCAAAUUAUUCUCCAUUUUACAUUCCUCUCAGCAGUAGACGUAUGAGACUUUCUUUGACCACACGUCUUCAUCAGCCCUGGGUUUUAUCAGAUUUUUAUUUCUUUCUUUUUGCCUACCUGAUGGGGGUGAAAUAUUUCAUUGCUGUUUUGAAGGUCUUCAAGUGUUUGAAAAAUAGCCGACUCGGUAGCUCUGUGAAAAUGCAGCUUGUUCCAACUGAAAUCGAUAAUGCAUGAGAAGAAUUUAUUCAACGAGGUCCAGUGACUGUGGUCAAGGAAACAAGUUGCCGCCAGGGCUUCGAGCGGUUGUAUUAAGAAAUAAAAAUGUCACUGGUAUUCAUAUUGUAACAAGCUGGAAAAAGUUCUUCCCCUUUUCCUAUGCUACUUACCUUUUUCUGUUCAGUUUGGGUUAUGAAUUUGGUGCUAGCAAUAAAUGAACAAGUCAAGAUUGGCAUCCGUCUGCAUGAGGAAAGCAGGUGCUUAGACAUGUGAAACCUGGCUUUAAACAGUGUGCUGCGCUUCCUUGGAAGGGCUUGAAGAUGCUCUCAGAUGCUUAGGGUGCAGCAGGAUCGGGUGGAGGAAUUGGCCUUGGCCCUGCAGAGCGGGCAGGUGCCUGUGACGGUGCCCUGUGAGGCUGGGCCACGCUCUGGAGAGCAGCCACAACUCCUUGGCCUCAUUAGUUAGUUACCUGAUAAUCCAUGUCUAUUUUCCCUUUGUUAUCUCGGAGCCUUUAAUUAAGUCUUAUUUCAUCAUUUUAGUCUUAUUGAGACCUGCUACAGGAAAUGCAGGAAAGAGUCUUAAGUCCACUUGAGUCCAAUUUAUAAAAAAGCAGAAGUGGCCCUGGAGACAAAGGCAGCAGCAACAGUGAUGGGGGACAAGACUCCAAGGCAAAGGUGAAUCUUGAGGGGACUGAAAUCUGAUGAUCAAUCCAGGAGAUUCUACCUCUGUUCCGAUCUUGGACGGGUUGUUAAGGGAGACAGUUUCCCUCACGCGCUGCUAGGCAGGUGAAUCCUGGCUGACUCCUUUGUGAAAUCAGCCCCCCUGUUCCUUAAUUUCCAGGGAGUCGGCGUGAUGUGGCAGAAAGAACAUGCCUUUUGAAGCUGGCAAACUUGAGUUCGCAUCCAUGCUGGGAAAUGUUUGUGAACUUGGGCAAAUUAACAUCCUGAGCCUCCAGUUCCUCAGCUCUACAGUGAGGGAGAAGAGCUUUUUGAAGGUAUGACAUCACCAAUCUUUGAGGGACGCUGUCGGAUGACCAGAUUAACAGACCCUGGGGACACUCUUUGGGGUACCUGGAUGUCAGACACACCAAACUAUUCUCCCCAAACCCAAACAGCUUUCAUCCAUCAUUAGCACUUCAGGGUUUGUUUCUGUUUUAUUGUAAAUAUUCCAGUUGAAGAAAGAUAAACAGACAAGAAAAAACUGCUUUGUACAGUACACAGAGUCAGAUAGAAAAUACAGAAUGGAAAAGAAAGCCAACGACGAACAGAUAAAAAGCGGAGACAUACCAAGGAAGACAACUAGUUGGGUGCAGGUUCACUCACCAGCUGGAGUGAGGUGCAGCGAUAGUCCAGCAGCUAAUAGAAACUGUCUAGCGCUGUCAGUCUUAUCUUUAUUCCACGCAGUGAAAGAAACAGACUUUAUAAAUGAUUCAUGGGGACAUUUAUUUCCCUAAUCCAUUAAAAAACGUUUGCUAUUGAUCAAGAUAUCCUGCUCAUAAAAAUGAGGUUGGUUCUUUUGUUGUUGUUUAAAAAAAAAAAAAAAUACCCAACCCUUCCUGCCCCAAAUGUGAUCUAACAGUAGGGACCACAUUGUGAG